GACGAACGCUGGCGGCGUGCUUGACACAUGCAAGUCGAACGGAAAGGCCUGCUUUCCCUUGUGGAUUGCGGGUACUCGAGUGGCGAACGGGUGAGUAACACGUGAGUGAUCUGCCCCCAACUUGGGUAUAAGCCUGGGAAACUGGGUCUAAUUCCCGAUAGGACUGCAGGGUGGUGCCUGUGGUGGAAAACGAUUUUCUAGUGGUUGGGGAUGAGCUCGCGGCCUAUCAGCUUGUUGGUGGGGUAAUGGCCUACCAAGGCGGCGACGGGUAGCCGGCCUGAGAGGGUGGACGGCCACAUUGGGACUGGGAUACGGUCCAGACUCCUACGGGAGGCAGCAGUGGGGAAUAUUGCACAAUGGGCGGAAGCCUGAUGCAGCGACGCCGCGUGGGGGAUGACGGCCUUCGGGUUGUAAACUCCUUUCGACCGCGAGGAAGCCACCUGGUUGGAAGGGUGGUGACGGUAGUGGUAGAAGAAGCACCGGCUAACUACGUG
This 494-nucleotide ribosomal RNA is filed under the name uncultured bacterium. RNAcentral describes it as "partial 16S ribosomal RNA". It matches the Rfam family "Bacterial small subunit ribosomal RNA", at positions 28 to 507 of the family's 1533-position model. The record is from RNAcentral.